Vidua chalybeata is the source of this 1905-nucleotide RNA transcript. It is a transcript of the gene named translation initiation factor IF-2-like, with no coding region annotated. Lineage: Eukaryota; Metazoa; Chordata; Aves; Passeriformes; Viduidae. The transcript is spliced from 2 exons. The record is from RefSeq and is a predicted model, not a curated record.
GUCCCAUCCCCGCGCGCCGUGGCUGCGGGGCGGUGAGCGGGGAUACCUGCACGCACAAAGGACCGGGAGGGUGUUCCUGCCGCCCCGGAGCCGCCGCACGCCCAGCGGGCAGCGAUGCCCGGGGAAUGCCGGAGGGCGCCCCGUGCCCGUCCCCACGCCCACACGCGGAGUGUCACGGAGGGGUCGCCAGGCCUGCAGAAGCGCCCGCGAGGCGCUGCCGUCACGCCCCCUCCGCCACGGAGCUGGAGCGGAGCGGCGCAGGGGGUGGGACGGGACCGGCGGCGGGCACCUCCCGCGGAGCGCCGGGCCCCGCACCGGGCACGGCGCUGAGUAACCGCUGCCACCCGUCCCAAAUUCCCCGGCGCGGAUUGAGGCGGAGGUGUUGCCCUUAUCGGGUUUUUACCCUCCGACCUCUCUCCUGCGUUUCGCUACCUGCCGCUCACGCAUGCCGCGGUCCCACCGAGACGCCUGAUCCCGGGGAGAGGCUGCGAACGGGGGUCCCGGCCCGUCCCCUCCUGGUCCCCAGAGAGCGGGAGGGGCCGCGGAAGGAAGAACCGGUGCGCAGCCGGCAGGCAGGUACCGGCCCUGGGGGGAAGGUGCUGCCGUGCUUCUGCCAGUCCGCCCCGCUGAGCAGGGCCCCCCCUCUCCGGGGCUCUUCCGAGGGUUUAAGGUGCUCUUCGGAUAUUGCUGUUUGAUCUCAUGCGCCCCUCCCUCUGCCCUGCCAUGAUCAGUAAUGAAGAGAAGCAGGGCAGCGAGGUCAGGCGCUGUGCAGCACCCCUGCAGGCCUCGUGGCAUCAACCCCCGUCCAAUAUUCAGGCUCCAUGAGGCCAGGCAUGCGUCACGGGACGCGAGGUGGCAGCGCUGAGCCUCUUCUGCCAGACGUAGGACAACGCGGAGCCAGCGAGCUCGCGGUUAUUUUUUUUUAUUAUUUUUUUUAUUUUUUUUAUUUUUUCCCCCCUGUGGUUUUACGGAGCAACAUAACGCUGCAAGUUUCUGACUGAAAUUCGGUGGGUUUGCAUCAAAGAGCGGCAAUGCCCACGCAGUCAGCUGUACGCCGCCGGAACAUCAUGCGAGUGAUGCCAAAUCCCGAUGCGGGGGUUAAGGGCAGUGGCACUGAGAGCACCCUUCUCACACACCGGGUCCUGCAGCUCGCCUUGCGCAUGGAGCAAGAGAGAUUGUUCAGGAACAAUACGCAUGACAAAUCUACUGCAGGACUGGGCGCCGCAAGCAUUGAUUCCAGCAUUCCUAUCCCUGGAAGCGUUCAAGACGGGGUUGGAUGGGGCCCGGAGCAACACGAUCUAGUGGGUGGUACCCUGCCCAUGGCCGGAGGGUUGGAACUAGGUGAUCUUUAAGGUCCCCUUCGAUCCAAACCGUUCUAUGAAUCUAUGAUUUGUGAUUGAUUGCAGGUGCUCUGUGUGAAUAAGCACGCAGUCCCCACCGGUUAAAACGUCUUAAGGACACGCAGAUUUAGCACCGCUCUUCCCCCCCCGCCCUCCCCCCCUUCUGUUUUAAACUGAGGAUUACCAGCGCACAGGCUCCUUUAACUGCAGCCCUUGCCGUUGGUCUUUUCCACACCCCCAGCUUCGUAGGCUGUGGGAAAUGCUUUGCAGCCUGCUCCGUCUGAGCUCUCGGGAGCAGACCUCCCUUCCCGUGAGCGUGUUCCUGCGUGCCCUCGUCGGCGCGGAGCGCUUCCCUGCCCUGGCGCAGCGUAGCCAGGAGCCCCCGCAGCUGCUGCGGCCGCCUCUUACUCCUUGCAGCCUCCCCAUUCCUGCAGCUCCCGGCCCGGCGAGCUCGAGUUCAUUAACGCGCACGUCAAUUCCACGCUGUGGCCCCAGCAGGAGCCUCCGCCGCGCUGCGCAGCCCCCGGGGAUGCGUGGAGCCGCGCGGUGGGCGCUUGGCGGGCGG